GACGAACGCUGGCGGCGUGCUUAACACAUGCAAGUCGAGCGAUGAAACACCUUCGGGUGCGGAUUAUAGGCGAACGGGUGAGGAACACGUCAGGCACCUGCCUUCCACUCUGGGAUAACGCUGGGAAACCGGGGCUAAUAACGGAUACUUUCAACUGGCGCCAUCGCCGGUCGAACAAAGUUUUGCGGUGGAAGAUGACCUCGCGGCUUAUCAGCUUGUUGGUGAGGUAAAGGCUCACCAAGGCGACGACGGGUAGCCGGGGUGAGAGGAAGACCGGCCACACAGGGACUGAGACACGGCCCAGACUCCUACGGGAGGCAGCAGUGGGGAAGAUUGGGCAAUGGAGAAAACUCUGACCCAGCGACGCCGCGUGAGGGAUGAAGGCCUUCGGGUUGUAAACCUCUUUCAGCAGGGAAUAAGCGAAAGUGAAGGUACCUGCAGAAGAAGCACCGGCUAACUAUGUGCCAGCAGCCGCAGUAA
RNAcentral lists this ribosomal RNA (480 nucleotides) under uncultured bacterium. Its description in RNAcentral is "partial 16S ribosomal RNA". It matches the Rfam family "Bacterial small subunit ribosomal RNA", at positions 28 to 523 of the family's 1533-position model. The record is from RNAcentral.